GGAGGGGUAGCAUAGAUGGUCUAAUGCGGCGGAUUGCUAAUCCGUUGUACCGUGGAAACGCGGUACCGUGGGUUCAAAUCCCACCCCCUCCGCUA
RNAcentral lists this transfer RNA (95 nucleotides) under bacterium. RNAcentral's name for it is "tRNA-Ser". It matches the Rfam family "tRNA". From Rfam's summary of the family: Transfer RNA (tRNA) molecules are approximately 80 nucleotides in length. The record is from RNAcentral.